Long non-coding RNA from Juglans regia (Persian walnut), 159 nucleotides. RefSeq lists it as uncharacterized. The transcript is spliced from 3 exons. Lineage: Eukaryota; Viridiplantae; Streptophyta; Magnoliopsida; Fagales; Juglandaceae. The record is from RefSeq and is a predicted model, not a curated record.
UCUCAGCAUGGAAAAAGGAAAAGAACAUUCAUCUACCAUAAGACCAUCUACCUCAAAUCCCCCAUCUGUGGACAUACCAUCAAGUUCUCCAAACAUCCCAAUGCACGGUUACUAUCGACCCUCAUCCGCGGAUAUACCAUCAACUUCUCCAAACAUCCC